This 439-nucleotide ribosomal RNA is filed under the name uncultured bacterium. RNAcentral describes it as "bacterial SSU rRNA". It matches the Rfam family "Bacterial small subunit ribosomal RNA", at positions 28 to 448 of the family's 1533-position model. The record is from RNAcentral.
GAUGAACGCUGGCGGCGUGCUUAACACAUGCAAGUCGAGCGAAGCAGUUAAGUUGAUUUCUUCGGAUUGAUUCUUAAUUGACUGAGCGGCGGACGGGUGAGUAACGCGUGGGUGACCUGCCCCAUACCGGGGGGAUAACAGCUGGAAACGGCUGCUAAUACCGCAUAAGCGCACAGAGCUGCAUGGCUCGGUGUGAAAAACUCCGGUGGUAUGGGAUGGGCCCGCGUCUGAUUAGGCAGUUGGCGGGGUAACGGCCCACCAAACCGACGAUCAGUAGCCGGCCUGAGAGGGCGACCGGCCACAUUGGGACUGAGACACGGCCCAAACUCCUACGGGAGGCAGCAGUGGGGAAUAUUGCACAAUGGGGGAAACCCUGAUGCAGCGACGCCGCGUGAGCGAAGAAGUAUUUCGGUAUGUAAAGCUCUAUCAGCAGGGAAGA